This 1551-nucleotide ribosomal RNA is filed under the name Streptococcus agalactiae ILRI112. Its description in RNAcentral is "16S ribosomal RNA". It matches the Rfam family "Bacterial small subunit ribosomal RNA". The record is from RNAcentral. Lineage: Bacteria; Bacillati; Bacillota; Bacilli; Lactobacillales; Streptococcaceae.
UUUAAUGAGAGUUUGAUCCUGGCUCAGGACGAACGCUGGCGGCGUGCCUAAUACAUGCAAGUAGAACGCUGAGGUUUGGUGUUUACACUAGACUGAUGAGUUGCGAACGGGUGAGUAACGCGUAGGUAACCUGCCUCAUAGCGGGGGAUAACUAUUGGAAACGAUAGCUAAUACCGCAUAAGAGUAAUUAACACAUGUUAGUUAUUUAAAAGGAGCAAUUGCUUCACUGUGAGAUGGACCUGCGUUGUAUUAGCUAGUUGGUGAGGUAAAGGCUCACCAAGGCGACGAUACAUAGCCGACCUGAGAGGGUGAUCGGCCACACUGGGACUGAGACACGGCCCAGACUCCUACGGGAGGCAGCAGUAGGGAAUCUUCGGCAAUGGACGGAAGUCUGACCGAGCAACGCCGCGUGAGUGAAGAAGGUUUUCGGAUCGUAAAGCUCUGUUGUUAGAGAAGAACGUUGGUAGGAGUGGAAAAUCUACCAAGUGACGGUAACUAACCAGAAAGGGACGGCUAACUACGUGCCAGCAGCCGCGGUAAUACGUAGGUCCCGAGCGUUGUCCGGAUUUAUUGGGCGUAAAGCGAGCGCAGGCGGUUCUUUAAGUCUGAAGUUAAAGGCAGUGGCUUAACCAUUGUACGCUUUGGAAACUGGAGGACUUGAGUGCAGAAGGGGAGAGUGGAAUUCCAUGUGUAGCGGUGAAAUGCGUAGAUAUAUGGAGGAACACCGGUGGCGAAAGCGGCUCUCUGGUCUGUAACUGACGCUGAGGCUCGAAAGCGUGGGGAGCAAACAGGAUUAGAUACCCGUGGUAGUCCACGCCGUAAACGAUGAGUGCUAGGUGUUAGGCCCUUUCCGGGGCUUAGUGCCGCAGCUAACGCAUUAAGCACUCCGCCUGGGGAGUACGACCGCAAGGUUGAAACUCAAAGGAAUUGACGGGGGGCCCGCACAAGCGGUGGAGCAUGUGGUUUAAUUCGAAGCAACGCGAAGAACCUUACCAGGUCUUGACAUCCUUCUGACCGGCCUAGAGAUAGGCUUUCUCUUCGGAGCAGAAGUGACAGGUGGUGCAUGGUUGUCGUCAGCUCGUGUCGUGAGAUGUUGGGUUAAGUCCCGCAACGAGCGCAACCCCUAUUGUUAGUUGCCAUCAUUAAGUUGGGCACUCUAGCGAGACUGCCGGUAAUAAACCGGAGGAAGGUGGGGAUGACGUCAAAUCAUCAUGCCCCUUAUGACCUGGGCUACACACGUGCUACAAUGGUUGGUACAACGAGUCGCAAGCCGGUGACGGCAAGCUAAUCUCUUAAAGCCAAUCUCAGUUCGGAUUGUAGGCUGCAACUCGCCUACAUGAAGUCGGAAUCGCUAGUAAUCGCGGAUCAGCACGCCGCGGUGAAUACGUUCCCGGGCCUUGUACACACCGCCCGUCACACCACGAGAGUUUGUAACACCCGAAGUCGGUGAGGUAACCUUUUAGGAGCCAGCCGCCUAAGGUGGGAUAGAUGAUUGGGGUGAAGUCGUAACAAGGUAGCCGUAUCGGAAGGUGCGGCUGGAUCACCUCCUUU